GAAAAAAGAAAUCUAUAAGUUGAACUGAUUCACGAAUGGGUUCUAACACUACUUUUUCUCAUUUCCACUAGAAUUUUCCUUUGGACACUGGUCCAAGAGGCAGUCAGCUCUCCGGGCGAGCGAGACCCCCGAGUUUGCCCCACCAUCAGAUUACUUGGUAGGUCAGAAAAGAGUGGGGCCUUCGAGCAGCCAGCCGUGGAGCAGACCUGGAGCAGCCCCGAGCAGACCUGGAGUGGCCCAGAGCAGCCCUGGGCAGCAGGCGGGCCAGGGCCAGGAGCCCCCUCUACAUACAUGCCACCCGCUCCUGGGCCCGGGGGCCCCCCACAGGCCCCCACACUCACUUUCGCGACUCUGGAUGACAUGAUCUCAUAUUACAAACAAGUGACAUGACCCUGGCGGUGCUGUGACUCGGGCUGUGCCUCGGGAACAGCAGGGGACAGUGGGUCUCAGGCCGAGCCGGGCCUUCAUCCUCCUGUCCCCGCUCAGAGUCACAGUGGGUCCUUGGCCCCUUACCGCCAUCUCCUUGCUGGUCCAGAGCAGCCUCCCCUGCUCCCCUCCACACCCCACUUCCCUCGAGUGAACUUGACCAUGAGUGUUUGGGGGCAGGCACGUCUGCUAUAAAACUGGAUGCUGCAGCACCUAUGGACCUGUCUGUCACCCUAUGCCCCAGCUUGGGGCCAAGGGUUUCAUUCCCCUCCUUUGUCCACAUGGGUGGGUUGGAGGCUUCACUCCCAAGGCUCAGAUCUUGGCCAGGUGGAGGAGCACAGGCCAGGAAGGCCCAGCAGGAGCAGGGAGGCAGAAGGAGCCUGGGGCUCGGUCCCUGGGGCUGGAGGCAUGGAACACAGUGCCAUUGGGCACUGAGAGGCCAGGUAGAGCAACACCCUCGUAACCCAGGAAGGUGGCUUCUGUUGUCACACUCUCCUGUCCUCCACGCCCUUGUGCACUGUGGCCAUCUGAUACAUGCGUGUUGGUGACUUCGGUGUCCUGUGGCUGCUGGGCCUGUCAGAGACAGUGUCCCUAGUUGUCACAGUCAGAGCUUUUAGCUCCUGCACUGCCACCCAAUGCCCCUCCCCGCCAGGUGUGCCUUCCAGGUCAGACUUGGGCCUGUGUGGAGGGCCAGGGCUGGCCCCUUGGCCACACUGAUGGGGUGUCAUGUGGGCAGGGCUCCAGGAGCAUGGCUCUGGACCAGGGUCCCAUCGCAGCUGUAGACAAGUAGCUGGCAGUUGGUCACUAGACCUUUGGGCUCCCCCAGCCAGCUGCAGGCUGGUGGCUCCAGAAGAACUCAGCACAAGUUUUUUAUUAUUAGAGGUUGAACUCUGCACCUUCACACUGCAUCCCUAACCUUUUUUAAAAUUUUUGAUACCAGGGUGUCUCUAAGUCACUUAAGUUUGUCCAGGCCGGCCUGGAACUUGAAUCCUCCUGCAUCAGUCACCCAGUGUGCUGGGAGUACAGGUGUGUGCCACUGUGCCCAUUCAGCACAGGUUUCCGAAGUGCCCUGAGGCGUGGAAGGGAGAGGAGUGAGGAAAGAGCACUCCCUCAGUGGCCUUGUCCCCAGCCCUGGGUAAGGAUGGCCAUCCUGGUGUGGCAGGGUCUGGACUUGUGCUUUCUCCAGUGCUCACGGCUCUAGUCUUCCCAGCAUCCAGUAGGUUUAGUUAAAGAUCCAAAUUCCUAGAAACUUGUCUCUGAGCCCCAGAGCAAGGGCUAUGUGCCAGGCCUGUUUAUCGUUCUGUUACAGGCCUCAUCAGGCUAAUAACUAAAUACACACUAAAACCCGUCAACGUAGCUUCCUUGUUUGUACAAAUUGAGCUGAUCCUGAAACUCACCUGGGUGCGCAAGGGACCCAGAGUGGCUACAUGAGCGGUAUUAGAAACAAAGCUGGGACUUGCUUCAUGGUUUUAGUAUGUCCUGCAAGGCUACUGUGGUCCAAGGCGCAUGGAGCUGGCGCAGGGGGAAGGAAUAGAGAAACCCAUGCACCUGGCCGGCAGCUGUCGGUAAGGGCGCUGGCCCCAGGUGGGGAGAGCAGUGUUUCCUGGGCAGGAGAGGGCAUUCCAGGCUUUGCUUCAGACCCUGUACAGAAUCUACACCCAGUGCACCAAGAGCUCAAAAUAAGGGUACAGGCAACAAAACCAACUGAAACAGUUCAUAGGAUAAGGAAGGAGAGACGCAAAAAAGUUGAAUACUAAAAAGACAAAAUCACUAGACUUUUAGAAUCCUAAGAAAACAUAGGAAAAAGAAAGAGGAGGCAAAUACUGAAUAGAUGAUAUGGGAAGGAUGGGAAGAGGGUGUAUUUGUAAGGAAAGCGCCCAGGGUACAGGUGGAUAGAGUAAGAAGAGGUGGAGGAGGCAGGCAGCCCUGCCCUGGGAGCAGUGAGGUUGGCCACAGUGGUCUCUUCCCUGCUGAGCUCCUAGGCAGCGGGGCGGCCUUGCACAGAUUGAGUAGAGUGUUCUCUGGCAGUUGGGAGAUGUUUCUAGAUCCAUCUCCCUUACAGUGUAAAUUUAGUUCUGUGCUUUGUGAGCCGGGAGGUCAAGGGUUCACACCUUCAGGCUCACUCACUUCCUGUGCCUCCUGGCCUGUUUUGUGUCGAAGUGCAUCCAGCAGGUGGCACUAGGGUUCACAGAAAACUCAUUUUGUUUAAAAUUGGGCAAUGAACUCUUUGUGUGAACAGAGCAUUAGAAAUAUUCACAAAGAGCAUUAGAAAUGUCCACCUGCAGAGCAGCAGCAUUUUGAAGAUCUAUUAUUUAUUGCUUUAAGUCCAUGGUCUUCUGAGAACACCAAGUUUCCUUUUGCUUUUUUUGGUUUUUUUGAGAAGACUUUUACUCUAGUCCAGGCUGGCCUUGAACUCACUAUGUAGCACAGGCUGGCCUCAAACUCAUGGCGAUCCUCCUGCUUCAGCCUCCCAAGUGCUGGGAUUACAGGCUUGUGCCGUCACCCCGCUUAUUAUAAACCUUAUAAAGAUGUGAAACGGUAUCUUCUUGUGACUUCAACUUCCGUUUCUCUAACACACAAAGGGUACUGAACAUUCAGAUCCGGCUCUGCAACAUGUCGACAGAAACCGCUAGGAGGCCUCUAGGGUCAUUUUCUGUUUUCUAGGAAUCCUAUUAAAAAGGUGAAAUUAAUUUUAUGAUACAUUGUGUUCAACCCAAUAUAUCCAAACUAGCAUUUCAACAUGCAGUGUAACUUAUUAUUGAGUUAGUUUACAUUUCUUUGAAGCACUCCACCCCAACCUAGCUCACUGUGGGGGCUAACUGUUCCCUAGGAAUAUUUGAUCUGUAUUUAGGUGUCAUAAGAUACACAGUUAAAAUAAGUAGAUCUUGGUAUAUCCAGUUGUUCUAGUCCUACCUAAACAUACUUAAAAGAUUUCCAAUAACUGAAUCCCGUAUCAAGUGUUACUUCUGUUGUUUCACUUGGCCACAAUUCCUUCCUAGUUGAGCAUUUUAACCUUGUAAUUGUAGUUUAAGAAUUUACAGUCCAUAUGAAAUGUUUUAAAUAUGUUAAACAAAAAUACCAACUUAAACUGGAAGCCAAAAGUAAAUUUAUCAGUUAUCUAAGAUUUAUAACCCGAUUUCUCCCUCUCCCAGGGGAGCUUCCCUCAAGGGAAAGAGGGAUUGAGCCCUCUCUUUAGUCUUUGGGAAAAUGGAUGAUUCUGAACAUCUUGGCACUUUUUAAAUUUUUUUUUUUUUCAGCAAGUAUAAAGUUGGUCUCUUCUUGUGCGGUUGCAACCUCCGCACUGGGGACUGGUCCUCCCUGGUUGGCAUGAGCUCCUGUUGAGCCAGAGCUGCUGGUUGGGGUGCUGGGGAUUAUAGGCUGGGGUAGGGACUCCAGAGGGUCCCAUGUGGAAGAGGGGACCAGAGAUGAGUCCUUUUGUUUCUUAUUAAGUCUCCUGGGCUUUUAGGG
RNAcentral lists this long non-coding RNA (3894 nucleotides) under Heterocephalus glaber (naked mole-rat). Its description in RNAcentral is "lncRNA (ENSHGLG00000040543.1)". Lineage: Eukaryota; Metazoa; Chordata; Mammalia; Rodentia; Bathyergidae. The record is from RNAcentral.